AGAUGAAGCACCCAGAGGACCACAAUCCUCGGAUUUUAUGAGAAGACCUUCUGCCCUGCCUGCCCUUUUGAGACCUUUAUCUGAAAAGGAACCUGCAAUCCUAGAAAAGAGGUGGAGGCAGGCUUGAUUCAGUUAAGGAAGUUCUUUCUUCUCAGCAAUUACCACGCCAAUUCUGUGGAAAAGCAACAUUUGGAAGACGAGAGAAAUCCACUGUAGGAAGUAUUAGAAAUACCUGCAAUUAGGCUUCAAACAAGCAAAUGAGGGGCAGGAAAAGUAAAUGACGACAGCCUGUGUCCUCUCCAUGACACCACUCUGCCUCCAUGGAACCACUCUGCCCCCAUGGAUCUCUCCAGUUUUAAGUCUGGGGAAAUCUAUCAAUCACACAAUUUCAGUUAGCAUUCCAAGAACUAGGGGAAGGCCCGAGUAAUCUAUUCAAAGACAUGCUUCAGAAAGAACACACCGACCCCAUGGAGAGUUAAACCUGAUUACCAAGAAGCAGGAUAGUUAGGUGUUUCCGCUAUUUACAUAAUCAUUGUAAAUAUAAGUUACAGACUAAUUACAAUGAUAAUUAUGACAAUGAGCCUGGCAUGGAGGAAGAGUUUAAUAAAUAAUAUUUGAUGAA
Molecule: long non-coding RNA, 622 nt
Filed under: Homo sapiens (human)
Lineage: Eukaryota; Metazoa; Chordata; Mammalia; Primates; Hominidae
Description: non-protein coding CLYBL-AS1:6
Source: RNAcentral